GAUGAACGCUGGCGGCGUGCCUAAUACAUGCAAGUCGAGCGAAUGGAUUAAGAGCUUGCUCUUAUGAAGUUAGCGGCGGACGGGUGAGUAACACGUGGGUAACCUGCCCAUAAGACUGGGAUAACUCCGGGAAACCGGGGCUAAUACCGGAUAACAUUUUGCACCGCAUGGUUCGAAAUUGUAAGGCGGCUUCGGCUGGCACUUAUGGAUGGACCCGCGUCGCAUUAACCAGUUGGUGAGGUAACGGCUCACCAAGGCAACGAUGCGUAGCCGACCUGAGAGGGUGAUCGGCCACGCUGGGACUGAGACACGGCCCAGACUCCUACGGGAGGCAGCAGUAGGGAAUCUUCCGCAAUGGACGAAAGUCUGACGGAGCAACGCCGCGUGAGUGAUGAAGGCUUUCGGGUCGUAAAACUCUGUUGUUAGGGAAGAACAAGUGCUAGUUGAAUAAGCUGGCACCUUGACGGUACCUAACCAGAAAGCCACGGCUAACUACGUGCCAGCCGCCGCAGUAA
Molecule: ribosomal RNA, 515 nt
Filed under: uncultured bacterium
Lineage: Bacteria
Description: partial 16S ribosomal RNA
Rfam family: Bacterial small subunit ribosomal RNA
Source: RNAcentral